CCAGACUCCUACGGGAGGCAGCAGUGGGGAAUAUUGCACAAUGGGGGAAACCCUGAUGCAGCAACGCCGCGUGAGUGAGGAAGUAUUUCGGUAUGUAAAGCUCUAUCAGCAGGGAAUAGAAAAGAAGGUACCUGAAAAAGAAGCCCCGGCUAACUACGUGCCAGCAGCCGCGGUAAUACGUCCCCCCCCCCCCCUACCCGGAUUUACUGGGUGUAAAGGGAGCGUAGACGGAAAGGCAAGUCAGAAGUGAAAGCCCAAGGCUCAACCAUGGGACUGCUUUUGAAACUGUCAAACUAGAGUACGGGAGAGGUAAGAGGAAUUCCUAGUGUAGCGGUGAAAUGCGUAGAUAUUAGGAGGAACACCAGUGGCGAAGGCGUCUUACUGGACCGAAACUGACGUUGAGGCUCGAAAGCGUGGGGAGCAAACAGGAUUAGAUACCCGUGUA
This 445-nucleotide ribosomal RNA is filed under the name uncultured bacterium. RNAcentral describes it as "partial 16S ribosomal RNA". It matches the Rfam family "Bacterial small subunit ribosomal RNA", at positions 331 to 792 of the family's 1533-position model. The record is from RNAcentral.